UACCAGCACCCCGAGUGGUCGGGACGAUUAUUGGGCCUAAAGCCUCCGUAGCCGGUUCUACAAGUCUUCCGUUAAAUCCACCUGCUUAACAGAUGGGCUGCGGAGGAUACUAUGGAGCUAGGAGGCGGGAGAGGCAAGCGGUACUUAGUGGGUAGGGGUAAAAUCCGUUGAUCCAUUGAAGACCCCCAGUGGCGAAGGCGGCUUGCCAGAACGCACUCGACGGUUAGGGAUGAAAGCGGGGGGAGCAAACCGG
Molecule: ribosomal RNA, 253 nt
Filed under: uncultured bacterium
Lineage: Bacteria
Description: partial 16S ribosomal RNA
Rfam family: Archaeal small subunit ribosomal RNA
Source: RNAcentral